CGAACGAAGCAUGCCGGAGGAAGUUUUCGGAUGGAAUCCGGGAUGACUGAGUGGCGGACGGGUGAGUAACGCGUGGGCAACCUGCCCUGUACAGGGGGACAACAGUUAGAAAUGACUGCUAAUACCGCAUAAGCGCACAGGACCGCAUGGUCCGGUGUGAAAAACUCCGGUGGUACAGGAUGGACCCGCGUCUGAUUAGGUAGUUGGCGGGGUAACGGCCCACCAAGCCGACGAUCAGUAGCCGACCUGAGAGGGUGACCGGCCACAUUGGGACUGAGACACGGCCCAAACUCCUACGGGAGGCAGCAGUGGGGAAUAUUGCACAAUGGGGGGAACCCUGAUGCAGCGACGCCGCGUGAGUGAAGAAGUAUUUCGGUAUGUAAAGCUCUAUCAGCAGGGAUGAGAGUGAAAAAAAAAAAUUUUUUUUGCCCCGGCUAAGGGGGUGCAAACUGCCGCGGUUCUGCGUGGGGGGCGGGCGUUCUCCGGCUUUCCUGGGUGUCUGGUGCGCGUUGUCGGCUGGGCGUGUCUGUGGUGNNNGCCCGCGGCCCUUCUGCGGGGCUGCUUUGGCCCCUGCCCGGCUCGUGUGCUGGCGCGGUCCGCGGCCUUCCUNGUGUCGCGGUGNNNUGCGUNGCUCUUUUGAGGAGUGCCGGUGGCGNNGGCGGCUUNCUGGNCCGUNNCUGNCGUUGGGCUCGNAAGCGUGGGGGCUCUUUUAAGAAGAGGCCGGGGAGNNCANCAAGGGAGGGCCCUUUUAUUGUAAGGGGGGCAAAGCCCAUCGGUGCCGCCGCAAAAGCAGUAAGUAUUCCACCUGGGGAGUACGUUCGCAAGAAUGAAACUCAAAGGAAUUGACGGGGACCCGCACAAGCGGUGGAGCAUGUGGUUUAAUUCGAAGCAACGCGAAGAACCUUACCAGGUCUUGACAUCGGGGCGGCAGGCUCGUAACGGAGCCGUUCCUUCGGGACGCCCCAGACAGGUGGUGCAUGGUUGUCGUCAGCUCGUGUCGUGAGAUGUUGGGUUAAGUCCCGCAACGAGCGCAACCCUUAUCCUAAGUAGCCAGCAGGUAAAGCUGGGCACUCUUGGGAGACUGCCAGGGAUAACCUGGAGGAAGGUGUGGAUGACGUCAAAUCAUCAUGCCCCUUAUGAUCUGGGCUACACACGUGCUACAAUGGCGUAAACAAAGAGAGGCGAAAGGGCGACCUGGAGCAAACCUCAAAAAUAACGUCUUAGUUCGGACUGCAGGCUGCAACCCGCCUGCACGAAGCCGGAAUCGCUAGUAAUCGC
Molecule: ribosomal RNA, 1278 nt
Filed under: uncultured bacterium
Lineage: Bacteria
Description: partial 16S ribosomal RNA
Rfam family: Bacterial small subunit ribosomal RNA
Source: RNAcentral